This 284-nucleotide long non-coding RNA is filed under the name Cyanistes caeruleus (blue tit). RNAcentral describes it as "lncRNA (ENSCCEG00000022259.1)". The record is from RNAcentral. Lineage: Eukaryota; Metazoa; Chordata; Aves; Passeriformes; Paridae.
AUGAGAACUAGAGCAUUUCUGAACCUGCAGGGAGAAGGAGCCACAAUCCCACACUGUCCAGAACUUCAUUGGCUCAACACCCAACAUCAGCAGCCACAUCCAGACAGAAACUCACUGCCCAGAAGUCUCAGGAUCCAUGCUGUGCAGUCUCCUUCCUUAGACCAGGUUGAUAUAACCCACCUCUGCUGUAAAAAUCCACCAGGAUGGCACAUCCAUCUAGCUGUUUGUGGGACAGGCGACUCUACACACUUCUACUGUUGAAAUAAAGACAGGAAAGAAAGGCA